GACGAACGCUGGCGGCGUGCCUAACACAUGCAAGUCGAGCGACGAACCGGUGCUUGCCUCGGGGCAGAGCCGCGAACGGGUGAGUAACACGUGGGUGACCUGCGCCCAUGACUUUGACAACCCGUCAGAAGACGGGCUAUUACCCGGUAUGCCCCCUGCGGCAAAGUAGGGUGCGUCGUCCGCAUUCGGCUGGGCCGGGGGCGCACGAGAUUGUUGGGGGGGUAAUGGCGUAACUGGCCGACGAAGCGUAGCUCGACUGAGAGGACGGUCAGCCACACUGGAACUGAGACACGGACCAGACUCCUGAGGGAGGCAGCAGUGGGGAAUAUUGGACAAUGGGCGAAAGCAUGAUGCAGUAACGCCGCGUGUGGGAAGAAGGCCUUAGGGUUGUAAAGCGCUUUUAGUUGGGAUGAGCCGCCGAUGGCGAAGAGCAGGUUGGAGUGACGGUACUUUGAGAAGAAGCACCGGCUAACUACGUG
This 479-nucleotide ribosomal RNA is filed under the name uncultured bacterium. RNAcentral describes it as "partial 16S ribosomal RNA". It matches the Rfam family "Bacterial small subunit ribosomal RNA", at positions 28 to 507 of the family's 1533-position model. The record is from RNAcentral.